Molecule: ribosomal RNA, 2382 nt
Filed under: Triticum aestivum (bread wheat)
Lineage: Eukaryota; Viridiplantae; Streptophyta; Magnoliopsida; Poales; Poaceae
Description: partial small subunit ribosomal RNA
Source: RNAcentral
AUGGAGUCGACUCAUGCAUCUGAAGAAAAUAACUCAAAAGAGUCAUCUCCGGUAGAAAUCCCAGAAACUUGUGUGGACUCACCAACUCUGGAAGUCAGUAGCAAUGGUGUUCACGAAAAUAUCAAUGCAAACAUGGAAAAGUCAGCUCAAGCAGCCACAUCGGGUAUCUCUAAUGGCCUUCCAGUUGCUGCCGAUGAUUCGGAGUUAUCUUCACACUCAGAGGUAUUGGCAGAGUCUCAUCCUGAUGUAGCAGAGCAUGACGUGGAAUCAAAUUCCCCCACAGGGGCAGGUCCUGAAAUGCUCUCAAAUUCAGUACCAACUGAGAAAUCCAAACACUCGGUGAAGGGUCAGGCAGAUCAUUCUUCUUCAGUACAUCCCGUCGAGGUGAACCAUGUUGAAGACAAGGCACGUUUUCAGAGAAAAAUUGCUGUAAAACCAAAAGUGAUGGAAGAGUCAGAAGCAAAACCUGAAAGUCCAUAUAAAGGUCUUAUUGACACUGCUGCGCCUUUUGAGUCUGUGAGAGAAGCUGUCACCAAGUUUGGAGGAAUCGUUGAUUGGAAAGCUCACAAAGUUCAGAUGAUGGAGAGACGCAAGUUCAUACAGCUUGAACUUGAAAAUGCUCAGAAAGAAAUUCCAAAAUGCAAAGAAGAACUAGAAGCUGCAGAGAUGGCUAAAUCACAGGUACUUGAUGAACUAGAGACUACUAAGAGAAUUGUAGAAGAGCUGAAGCAUGAACUGGAGAAAGCACAGAUGGAAGAAGUUCAAGCAAAACAGGACUCUGAGCUUGCACAACUGAGGGUGCAAGAAAUUGAGCGGGGAGUAGCUGACGAUUCUAGUGUAAUAGCCAAGACUCAAAUGGAAGUCGCAAAAGAAAGACACGAAAAAUCUGUUGCCGAACUUAAAUCAGUAAAGGAGGAGCUGAGAACAUUACACGAAGAGUAUGCUAGCUUAGUCAAUGAAAGGGACAGAGCAAUCAAAAGGGCUGAAGAAGUGUUAGCCGCCGGGAAAGAUAUCGAGAAGCGAGUGGAGGGGCUGACUGUAGAACUGAUUGCAGCUAAAGGAUCUCUUGAGUUGGCCCAUGCUGCACAUCAUGAUGCUGAAGAACGUAGAAUCGGCGCAGUACUGGCGAAAGAGCAAGAUUGCCUUGCUUGGGAUAGAGAGUUGGUCCAGGCACAAGAGGAGGUGCAACAACUGAACAAUAAGCUUCUGUCCCAAAAUGAUUUGAAGAAGAAUCUUGAAGCAAAUUUGCGCAAGUUGCAUGGCCUCAAGUCUGAGCUUGCAGACUAUGUGGAGAGUAUACUGUGCAAAGAAGCUUUAGGGGUUGCCAAGGAGCAUGAGUCUGAAGAUGCUAGACAAAUUAGCAGCUCAAUUAAGGAAACUCUAGCUUCAACACAGAAAGAGCUCGAGGAGGUUAAAGCAAACAUAGAAAAUACAAAAACUGAGGCCAAAUUGUUAAGAGUUGCGGCGACAACUCUCAGAUCAGAGCUCGACAGGGAGAAAGCUUCACUUGACUCAUUGCAGCAGAGGGAAGUGAUGGCAUCAAUUGCAGUUUCUUCACUAGAAGCUGAGCUCAACAGGACUCAAAAAGAGAUAGAAUCUGUGAGAUCCAAGGAAGAAGAUGCCCAAGAGAAAAUGGUGGAGCUCCCUAAGAUGUUGCAGCAAGCAGCUCAGGAGGCCGAGGAUGCCAAGGACGCAGCUCAAGCAGCAGAAGAGGAGCUGAGAAAAGCCAAGGAAGAUACUGAGCAAACCAAAGCAGCUGCAACUACAACAAGCAGCAGGUUAUGUGCUGUUCUGAAGGAAAUAGAAGCAUCCAAAGCGUCCGAGAGGCUAGCACUUGCGGCAGUUCGAGCAUUGAAUGAAAGCAAAGAGGCCAGCGACGUCGAGGAUUCUCCCAGAGGAGUGACGCUUCCUAUAAGCGAGUAUUACGCCCUUAGCAAGAAAGCACAAGACGCUGAAGAACUGGCAAAUGAGAAGGUGACAGAAGCGCUGGCACAGGUAGAGUCCGUGAAAGGCUCUGAAUUAGAGAGCCUAGACAGGCUAACUGAAGCAACAAAGGAGAUGGAUGAAAAGAAGAGAACUCUUGAACUUGCAUUGGAGAGAGCCGAGAGGGCAAACGAGGGGAAACUCGCCGCUGAGCAGCAACUGAGGAAAUGGAGGUCUGACCAUGAGCAGCGCCGGAAAAUUCAGGAGGCCGCGAAGCGUGCGGUUAACCCCGUGAGUAGCCCAUUUGUCGAUCCUUACCUGAAAGAGCAGGAUUCACGGCUGCACAUGUCAGGCAGUAGCUACGAGGACCAUGUUCCGAACCGAAAGUUGCGAAAGAAAAAGUCGUUUCUCCCUCGAAUGGGCUCAUUUUUGUCGAGAAAUACCCCGGCACAAACAUAA